GCAUUGGUGGUUCAGUGGUAGAAUUCUUGUCUUCCAUGCAGGAGACCUGGAUUUGGUUCCCAGCCAAUGAA
Molecule: transfer RNA, 71 nt
Filed under: Loxodonta africana (African savanna elephant)
Lineage: Eukaryota; Metazoa; Chordata; Mammalia; Proboscidea; Elephantidae
Rfam family: tRNA
About the family: Transfer RNA (tRNA) molecules are approximately 80 nucleotides in length. Their secondary structure includes four short double-helical elements and three loops (D, anti-codon, and T loops).
Source: Rfam by way of RNAcentral